Molecule: ribosomal RNA, 2445 nt
Filed under: Datisca glomerata
Lineage: Eukaryota; Viridiplantae; Streptophyta; Magnoliopsida; Cucurbitales; Datiscaceae
Description: eukaryotic LSU rRNA
Rfam family: Eukaryotic large subunit ribosomal RNA (bases 1108-2445)
Source: RNAcentral
GCACUUUCCAAAAUGUGCUCAAGAAGAUGCAGUCACGAUCACAAACGAUGCUCUCCAGAAUGCCAUGUAAACCACAUGUUGAAUAAAAAUGUUAGCAACUAUUUUUGCAAAAUAAAGAUGUAAAAGGGAAAUAAAAUGAGCGUAUUUGCUUUGUCUAUUCACCAUGACUAGCAGCGAAUUCUUUCCACCAAAUAAUGGUAACCAUCGAUGAAAUCCAUCGAGAUAUCGACCCAAACUUACGUCGGAAUAGGUAAUGGAAUUAACAAACCAACGGGCAAUAGUGGAAUAUAAUUAUUGUUUUAGCAUACAUCAUACUGAUCGACAAAACUGUUGACGUCUCUAAAAAAGGAUCAUAUGAGUCUGCGAUAAGUUUGUAACUCACCGGAAUGGCCUUCUGUCACUAAGUCGGGAACUCACAAAUUAAAUCACUCCUUAUACCAUCAUCAUUAGGAAGAAAAGUGUGACCUUGCUAGAAAAUGCAUCCCCCAUGAACUACCCUCCUUUGUUCAUCCUGAUCUCCAUCCUUUGACACAAGCAGCAAUUUGCUAAAAAUGGGGCCAACAAUAAUGGUUGUUUCAACCUUUCCCAGCCCAUAAAGGUAGAUUUGGAGAUUGCUACCAACUCACCUGCAUCUUCCCAUCUUGACAACGCAUCGGCCACAUUAUUCUACUGCCCCGGGCGAUACACGGUUUCAUAAUCAAAUAUGAUCAGUUUAGUGAGCCACCUUUUUUGUUCAAGUGUUGUUAUUCACUGCUACAAGAGAUAUCAUAGAUUGCGUUGGUCGGUGCAUAUCCAGAACUGCCUUCCUAACAAAUAAUGGAACCAUUGUUUCACUGCUUGAAAAAUGGCCAGUAUUUCUUUGGCGUAAAUAAAACAAUCCUUUUUGGUUGGCCCAAGGGUCUUACUAAGAUAAACAAUAGGGCGUCCUUUUUACUGUAACACUGCACUGAUCCUAUACCCUGAAGCAUCUGUUUCGAUCACAAACAUGUUAGAAAAAUCAGGUAAUGCAAGGACCGGUGUAGUAGUCAUAGCUUCCUUUAACAACUGAACUGCAUGGUUAGCUUCCUCUGUCCAAAUAAAUUUCUCUUUCUUCAGCAACUGAGUGAGUGGGAGAGCUAAGAGCCUGUAAUGACGGAUGAAUCUUCGAUAAUACCCGUCGGCUUUCGGCGGACUCCUCGAGCUGCUCUCGCGCUAGAGAGGGUCGGCGCGUGCCGGUCAAGGAACAGACUGGGAACGGUCCAUUCGGGGGCCUUCCCCAGGCAUCGAACAGUCAGCUCAGAACCGGUACAAACAAGGGGAAUCCAACUAAUUAAAAUAAAGCAUUGUGAUGGUCCCUGCGGAUGCUCACACAAUGUGAUUUUCUGUCAAGUGCUCUGAAUGUCAAAGUGAAGAAAUUCAACCAAGCGCGGGUAAACGAGAGAAGUAACAAUGACUCUCUUAAAGUAGCCAAAUGCCUCGUCAUCUAAUUAGUGAUGUGCAUGAAUGGAUUAACGAGAUUUCCAGUGUCCUUGUCUACUAUCCAAUGAAACCACAACCAAGGGAACGGGCUUGGUGGAAUCAACGAGGAAAGAAGAUGUAGUUGAACUUGACUCUAGUCUGACUUUGUAAAAUGACUUGAGAGGUGUAGGAUACGUGGGAGCCGGAAAUGGUGAAAGUGAAAUACUACUACUUUUAACAUUAUUUUACUUAUUCUAUGAAUCGGAAGUGGGGAACUGCCCCUCUUUUUUGUCCCAAGACCUGCUUCUAUGGGUCGAUCUGGGUGAAAGACAUUGUCUGGUGGGGAGUUUGGCUAGGGUGGCACAACUUUAAAAGAUAAUGCAGGUGUCUUAAGAUGAUCUCAACGAGAAAAGAAAUCUCGUGUGGAAAAAAAAUGUAAAAGUUCAUUUGAUUCUAAUUUCUAAUAUGAAUUCGAACCGUGAAAGCAUGGUCUAUCGAUCCUUUAGAUCUUCAGAAUUUGAAGCUAGAGGUGUCAGAAAAGUUACCACUAGGAUAACUGGCUUGUGAUAGCCAAGCGUUCAUAGCAACGUUGCUUUUUAAUCCUUCGAUGUCGGCUCUUCCUAUCAUUGUGAAGCAGAAUUCACAAAGUGUUGGAUUGUUCACUCACCAAUAUGGAACGUGAGCUGGGUAUAGACCAUCGUGAGACAGGUAAGUUUUAUCUACUAAUAACAGUAUCGCAAUAGUGAUUCAACCUAAUACGAGAAUAAUCAUUGAUUCGCACAAUUAGUCAACGCGUUUGGUUGAAAAACCAAUAGCGUAAAGCUGCCAUGCACUAGAUUAUGACUGAACGCCACUAAGUCAGAAUCCAGGCUAGAAGCGACGCAUGCCCUCGUCGCCCGAUUGUCGACCAACAACAUGGGUCUUUGGGCCCCCAAAGGCAUGUGUCGUUGGUGAAGCCUUCUCGACGGACAAGUCGAGUUGGCCGCCUUGAAAGCAAACGCUUUCACA